This 564-nucleotide ribosomal RNA is filed under the name uncultured archaeon. RNAcentral's name for it is "bacterial SSU rRNA". It matches the Rfam family "Archaeal small subunit ribosomal RNA", at positions 315 to 883 of the family's 1478-position model. The record is from RNAcentral.
UUCUGACACGGGGUGCAGCAGGCGCGAAACCUUUACAAUGCACGAAAGUGUGAUAAGGGGAUCCCAAGUGCCUUGCUUUUAGCAAGGCUUUUGCCAUAUCUAAACCGUAUGGCGAAUAAGUGGUGGGCAAUACCUGUGCCAGCCGCCGCGGUAACCCAGGAGCCACAAGUGGCAACCGCUUUUAUUGGGCCUAAAGCGUCCGUAGCCGGCCUAGUAAAUUUCCUGUGAAAUCGUUGGGCUUAACCUAACGUCGUGCAGGAAAGACUACUGGGCUAGGGACCGGGAGGCGUCAGAGGUAUUCCUGAGGGAGCGGUAAAAUGCUAUAAUCUCAGGAGGACCCCCUGUGGCGAAGGCGUCUGACGAGAACGGAUCCGACGGUGAGGGACGAAAGCUAGGGGAGCAAACCGGAUUAGAUACCCGAGUAGUCCUAGCCGUAAACGCUGCGAGCUAGGUGUUGCACAUUCUUCGGGAAUGUGCAGUGUCGAAGCGAAGGUGUUAAGCUCGCCGCCUGGGAAGUAUGGUCGCAAGGCUGAAACUUAAAGGAAUUGGCGGGGGAGCACUUGU